Molecule: long non-coding RNA, 445 nt
Organism: Halichondria panicea
Lineage: Eukaryota; Metazoa; Porifera; Demospongiae; Suberitida; Halichondriidae
Exons: 4
Source: RefSeq, a predicted model, not a curated record
GUUGGGGAGAUGGUGAGGACGUAGCUGACAGACACACCACCAGUAGAGGAGGGAGGGUCCCACUCCAGAGUGAUAAUAGAGGAACUGAUUUGGUUUUGUUGUGAAGCCACUAUUGGAGCUGAUGGAGAAGGAUUCUGUUGCUUCUCCAAUACAACGUACAACGGUGCCGUUCAGCAAGGACACCUCAGUGACUGUGGUAAGGGUGGAGCUCAGUAGAAGCAGAAGACACCACUUGUGUCAACUGCGCAGUAACCACGUCAGGUGGAGGAUCCACUUCCCACAAAAGUGAACUUCUAUUAACAGAGCAGGAUGGACAAGUCUGACAGAACAGUAACAUGCAGUUGUAUAAUUAAUUGUUGUUAUUUGUUCAUCAGUUUAUGCAAACAGAUGCAGUGCUACAUGUAUUGUUUACAUUGUCUCAAUGAAUAAUAAUGAAAGUUGCAAG